GACGAACGCUGGCGGCGUGCUUAAUACAUGCAAGUCGAACGGACCGCUUCCGGUGGGUUGCUAUUUGGCGAGGGUGUUGGCGAACGGGUGAGUAACUCGUCGCGACUCUGCGCUUAAUUCCAGGAUAACAGAGCGAAAGUGCUGCUAAGACCGUAUACGCUUAGCCAGUGGCGUGGAUGGUUUAGGGAAGGGAACGGGUAGGGAUGGGCCCGCGUCCGAUCAGCUAGUUGGUGGGGUAACGGCCCACCCAGGCAACGAGGGGUAGCCGGCCUGCGAGGGUGACCGGCCACACUGGGACUGAGACACGGCCGAGACUCCUACGGGAGGCAGCAGUGGGGAAUAGUGCGCAAUGGGCGGAAGCCGGACGCAGCGACGCCGCGUGGGGGAUGACGGCCUUCGGGUUGUAAACCUCUUUCAGCAGGGACGAAGCGCAAGUGACGGUACCUGCAGAAGAAGCACCGGCCAACUACGUG
RNAcentral lists this ribosomal RNA (473 nucleotides) under uncultured bacterium. RNAcentral describes it as "partial 16S ribosomal RNA". It matches the Rfam family "Bacterial small subunit ribosomal RNA", at positions 28 to 507 of the family's 1533-position model. The record is from RNAcentral.